GCGCCCAUAGCUCAGCUGGAUAGAGCGUUCCCCUCCGGAGGGAAAGGCCGGGAGUUCGAAUCUUCUUGGGCGCG
Molecule: transfer RNA, 74 nt
Filed under: Hydrogenovibrio marinus
Lineage: Bacteria; Pseudomonadati; Pseudomonadota; Gammaproteobacteria; Thiotrichales; Piscirickettsiaceae
Rfam family: tRNA
About the family: Transfer RNA (tRNA) molecules are approximately 80 nucleotides in length.
Source: Rfam by way of RNAcentral